This 12811-nucleotide small RNA is filed under the name Rattus norvegicus (Norway rat). Its description in RNAcentral is "uncharacterized LOC102547244". The record is from RNAcentral. Lineage: Eukaryota; Metazoa; Chordata; Mammalia; Rodentia; Muridae.
AUUUGCUUAAUGCUCUAACCGUGGCAAGCUUGGCUGGAAGGCAGGCUACACAUAGCAGGGAAGAGGGUAGACUCCAUGAGGAGAUGGGGCAGGAUCCAGGGUGUGGUAGCCGACUUAGAGCACACUUCCCUUGAAAAUAUGGGACAAAUAUUUAAUAACGAACAUUGGUCGGAGCCACAAGUGAGUAAAGAGCUAGAUGUUUCCAGGCGGUCGCGGGUCUCAGCGUUUGGGUAAUGGCAGCCCUCUGCUUCCAGAGCGUCUGUCCAAUUCGCAGCACAACUUCACAGGGCAGAGGGAUCAAAGUCCGAGAGUUGACAAGCCAGUAAAACUUAAGAAAGGCACCCGCGUCUCAGCCAACUGGGCUGGGAUCCACCACUAGGAUUUAGUUCUUGCAAGAGAGUCAGACUCCAACUCCGGGACAGAAGCAGAGAUGCUCUCUAUAAAGCCGUGGAGGGGAAAAACAGGCUCAGCCCUUGGAAACAUGAGCCUGGCUUCAACUCGACUCUUGGUCGCCGCCGUAUACCUGACUUGGUGAAGAAGAAAGGAAAGCAAACAUCUCCCAGCAGAAUGAUCGAGCGCAAAGCGUUCAAAACUUGCAAUUCUGACAGACAGUCCUCGAGGGAAGGUGGGGUUCAUGGUUUUUGAGGGGUUUUUGCCCAUCGUGAUAUGGGAAGGACAGAAGAGAAGUUCAGGUCAGGGUGGUCAAAGCUGCUGAUACUGCCACAGACCAGUGUGCAGAGUGGUCAGGACCCUGAGCUGGGGGAAUGGUCAAAGGCACACUCCUAGAGACCAACUUGUGCUCGCUGAUCCCUGCCUCUUGAAAGUUCCACAGCCUCUCAGAAUAGUGCCCCCUGCUGGGAAGGAAGAAUUCAAGACGUGAACCUGGCGGGUGGGGCUUGGGGGGUGGAUUUCAGAUUGAAACUAGAACAGAAGGCCCAGAAAAGGGAGGUCGGUGAGAGUCUGUAUUCUUAAUUCAGGACGGCUUACAAAUAUGACUAGUUAAUUUAUAAGAUGUAAACUAAUACUUAAAAAAAAAAGAAUUUAGCAAACCAGACAGGGAAUUUCAGGACGGCAGUGACCUUUGUGCUUGCUGAGGCAUCGUAGGCGACAGUCUGCUGGAGUCCGGGAAGCCAUCUGCAGCUAGAGGGACCCUGCAGCUAGGGGGACAAUGAGCUGUCUGUCUCCUCCUCUACCUCCAGCUCUCCCUUGAGGGUUUGCGUUGGCAGAAUCUAAGCAGGAAUUUCUGGGAAAUUUAGUUUCCAGAUGUUACAGCCCCUGUGAGUCAGGACACAGAAGGGGAAAGAGCUACCAUGGCCACGGGGCCCAAGUGAAAGACAUCAAUUAUUUUAGGGUGAUGUCAGAGAAAGUGGGUCGCAGUGGAAAUGGAGCUCGGCGAGGCCGAGUCUGGGUGGAAGGACUGUGGGGAAGCAACACCCCUGCAGACAGGAACUGUGAGACACGCUAGGCAGAGUGACAAGGAGGUUGAAAUGCCACAACCUUCGAGAGUGACAGAUGCUCUUUGUUUUAAAGAGCUCAGUAGCGUGUAUAUAGAAAAUAAAGGCACCGUGGAUGGGACAAGGGGACUGUAAGAACCUGUCCCCCACUCUUGCUGAUAGUUUGAAAGCAUUCUGUGAAAUAAAUAUUCUUCUUCCAGACUAGGCAAAAAUGAAAACGGUUAGCAUUUGGACCUCGGUGUUGGAACUGGAGGUUAGAAGGUAGAAAUGUGGGAGGGAGUUAGACCAGAAGUUGACGGAACUUGGCAAGGUGAGUAGCAGGAGGAAGGCAGGAGCAACCAGGACUCCACAGUCUGUGGGGUGCGUAGCAUUGUGAACGGGCACCAUGAAUUGAGACAUGGCCAUAAAAAAAGUCGGAGCAGUUCCCUUUGGGAUGUGUUCUGUGUUAGGAUGUGAAACUACAGACAUCAAUAAUCAAGACAGAGGUGGUGGUGUGUCGUGUCCCCCCCACCCGCUUCCUGCUGAACAUACAUGACACCUUUGCAUACAAAGGGAAGUAUAACUCUCUACGUGUGAGUUUGGCCACAGUCACAGAAAAGAACUGAUUGAUAUCUAUCAAAGAUAUUUCCCCAUCUUAUUCCCCGAUGGAGCUUGAUGCUUGAAAUCCAACACGUGGUACUUCAAACUCCUGGCUUUAAGUUAAGGCACCUUAAAGGUUUGUGCUGCCCAUCUACCUGUGGUGUGGCGUGCUGAGACUUGCUUUGUCACACGUACCCUGAAAACAAUCAGUGCAUAUACACACACUAGUGCUGCUAUAUGGCCAGAGCUCGCAGCAUGGCCUAUUACAUGAUUUUUCCAGAAAGAUGAUAACAGGCAUCACACCAGACAGGGCAUCAGUGUCAGGUCACAGAAAUUACUCUACUAAAUUCCAGCUUGAGGAACCAAGGAAUCUUUUGGGGUUAUAUACAGCAACGUAGCAAGGGGCUCCUUGAAAGAACCUGAGUGGCUUAAAAGCAGCUGUACCCCCCAAAAUGACCCACCAGAGCUUCGUCCCCGGGACUCCCCACCUAUCUCAAAGGUAACCCCUUAGAGAGUCUCGUCUUGAGCAACAAUUAAUUAUUGCUUAUAUAACCCAGAGUGGGGCCUGUCCUGUUAACUUCUGCUGUCAACCUGACAGCCCAGAGUCAUCUCAGAGAGGCUCCAUUGGGGAAUCAGAUCGAUCAAAUUGUCCUGUGGCCAUGUCUAUGAGGAAGUCUUUUAGUUGUGGAUUAUUGUCAGAGGGCACAGUCCCCUGUGGGUGGUGCCAUUCCUUAGCAGAUGGUUCUGGGCUAUCUAACAAAGCUGGCUGAGCAUGAGGGAGAGAGAGAGAGUAAACCAGCAUGCAGUGUUCCUCCAUGCAACUCUGCUCCAGAUUCCUGCCUCUCGAGAGGUCCUGCACCGGCUUCCCUCCGAGAUGAACUUCUACCUGGGAGUGUCUAUUGGAACAAACACUUCCCUCCCCAAGUUGUUUUUGGUCAUGGUGUUUAACAGAAUGACAUAAAGGAAGCUAGAGGAAGGCAUAUUCCUACUAAGUCUUGUAAGCUUCCUGGGCCUGCUAAAUUUUAUGGGUUUGUGAGUUUUGCUAGCUCCUUGUGUCUUAUGAGCUCCUGUCCUCUCUUAACUCUCCAGGAGGACAUGUUUCAGUUCGGGGGCAAUAGCUACACAGUAGUGCCCAUGAUGAGCCAGAGCUAGAAGAAUCACUGGCCCCUACAUAAAGCCCUGAUUGUCAGAGAGACAGGAGGUCUUCAUGAGUCUGGGGAAACUUGCUGUGACUUACUUUGUCCUCUGUCUUCAUAGGCUCCCUGCCUGCUCUAUCUAUUUUUUCUUCUAUUUCUUUAACAACUUGAUUGUUGAAACCCCAGGAAAUUCUAAGCCCAUUUCUCCCAUCAAAAUGAAAGGAACUUAUUGAUGAAAUCAUGAGUCCAUUAAGAUUGAGUGGUACAUCUCCAUUAGGGCCACGAUUUGCAUCAUAAAACAGAUUAACAUGAAAGGUGGAAGCACUCUUCUUGGAGAGGAAAUGCACAAAAGAAUCUUUUAGGGCCUUCCGAAUUAAAGCAGAAUAAACACUCCACCAGGCACAGAGAGAAGGCAAGGGACAGGGGGGAAGGUUUCGACAGAGCCAAGCAAGACUGAAGACCUGCAGCCACAUAAGUGGUGUGACUCAUAGCUUAGUUGUGGGUAGACAGCAGAAGCCAGGGAACAUUCGGAGCUGAAAGAAACACUCGUAUUAAACAUUCUGCUGGAGCAAGGGUUCCCACUGCAGUGUGCUUACAGAGCCCUGCUCUGAAGUAUGCCUGGGCCGGCCGUUCUCGCUACUUUAAUGGAGUUGCUGAGAACCACCCUCUUGCCCGGCUAAGAGCCUGUGGUUCUGAGUGGAUGAGAGUGCUGUUCUCCUCAACCUUCCUCAGAAUGUUGAGAGGACAGUUCUGUGACAAGAGCUUUGCCAUGUGGCCUCCCCAGGAAUCUAGAUUGUUCCGGAUGAUCAAAGGAUAAUGAAAUAAACCCUACAUUAAUAGAGCACAGGGUUCUGGGAGUGUGUUGGGGGGCGGGGAUGACGUCUUCUCUUGCCUAUCAAGCUGGUGCUGUUUGUGUGUGUAUCACUUGCUUAGCAGCAUCAAGACCUUUAGCUAAAAGGAGAGGCUGGCUUAAAGGAUUGGAGCACCCGGGGGAUUCGCUGUUUGAUGGAAACAGGUCAGAGAAAGGAGCAAGAGAAUGAUCGGCCGUCUUACUCUUCUGGUGGGGUCUCUUUGCUCAUGUGUGAGAGGCAGUUCAUGCCAGCUCACAGACAUCAAGCAGAAUUUCUUCCUAAUUCCCCCACUCAGUGACUUCAUAGGAGGUUGGCACUGGCUAGGAUAGGAAUGUUUACAUUGCCAGAAUUGGCAGAUGUCACAAACCAGGGUGUUUUUUUCUCCCCUACUGUGGUUGCCUUGUUUUCUCCCCUAGAAAAUUUAUCGUUAAAUAUUUAUCAGCAUUCUCCUGGAAUUUGAUUGAAAGAUAAUUUGGCCAUCAAAGCAGCCACACGGCCUUCUGAAACUCUGGCUGAAAGCUUUCUGAGCACAGCAAGGGUCAAACAAGUGACCGGGCGGAGCUCGGCGGAAUUUGGAAAAAGGGAAAGGAUUCUUGGAAUACACGCCUGUGUGACAUACUCACCCAUGAACACUCACCUGAGGGUCAGUGCUCACAGGGUGACAUGGUAGGCACCUCUCGAAAGUUGUAAAGGGACCUUUAGGAAUGUGGCCACGAGAUGGACACUACUUAGACAUGAUGUGGGCCUCUUUCUCAUUGGACCAGGGACUUCAGAUAAAGGAUAAGACCCAGGAGGCUGGGCCUCAGAAGGACCAAUUUACAGGGCAUUUUGAUAGUGAACCAAUUAACCUCUUCUACCUAUAGGGCUCAGACAAAAGAUAGUUGGGCUCAGGAUGCAUUCUGGGAGCACUGCCGCGUGUGGGUGGUAAUGAUGUGUCAGAAGUUCUUUUUCAGAUGGGCUAAGUAGACUCCAGUCCUAUAUGGAAUGUCCGAGGCUGUGUCAGAGAAACACAAAGGUCUCUUCUGCCUCCCUUCCUGGGUUCUAGGAUUCUUCUGAAAAGAACCCUAAUGCUAACUAGAAGGUAGAAGAGUGGAAGCCCAGACACAGAUUAAGGAGUACACAUAGGUUCGGCCACAAUGGAGAUCAGGGAGGGAGGAUCUUCAACAAACUAAGAAAGAACCAGUGUAUGGCCCACUACAGCGUGUCCAGGUUAUUUACCUGAGGGACCGUAAGCCAACCUAUCACCCUGUGAACACUGCUGUGAGUUCACAAUUAUGGCUGAGUUAUGUACGGAAGCAAGAGAAGCGUCCGUCAACAAAUGACAGGGUUAAAUGGAGUGUGUGUGUAUAACGAAACUUUAGUCAGCUCUAAGGAAGAGCAGAAUCAUGCUGUUUGUUGAAGAACGGGUGUGACAGAAACUAACUAUAUGAAAUAAGUCAGCAAGAUAAGUGUCACACAUUUUUAGUCCUUUUGCACAUCCUUGGGUACACACACACACACAACACACCCUCACACACACUAAGGAAAAAAAAACUGGCUUCGAAGGACAAAAGGAGGCUACGAAAGGAAACAUAUUUGUUCGACUUUGAGGAAGAAGCCGAUUUGUCUGAAGGAGUCUGGGGACAGCCCUGCCUUUGUCUGAUAAGCCCUCUCUGCAAGUCCCUGUAAGCCAUAUGUGUUUAAGAUGUAGAGGAUCAGCUCAGGGGAUCAGCGCACAGCCCUGGAAGCGUUAGCAUGCGCUUCCUACUUUAAGCAGCUGUCUGGCAAAAUGGUCUGUCACUGUCAUAGGGCAGCCGAGCAUGAGAGUGCUUUGACAGUGCGAGUCUGUCUCAAUCCUUCCACCCAAACUCAAAGGAACGUCUUCCCAAAGGCCGAGGGCAGCCAUUCUUUGCAGCGGGAGUAAGCUCGGCUGAUGGCUUAAUCUGGAAGCCAAUUGGCUUUCAAGGAGACAUAACUCACUCCAUAUUUAGAGAAACGUUUGGAGUCUAUUGGGACUGCUUCGGGAGGGGAUUUGAAAACUUUGAAAAGGAACCUGAUAUGAACACUGACCGACUGGAAGACCUUCUGUCUUUCACAAGUGGGCACGUACCUGGCAGCCCUUGCUGGCUUGGCUUCAACUCCUAGAUCCCGGAUCAUGGAAGCCCUGGAGGGUCUGGCAGUUGGUUCCGGAGUCAACAAGAAGCAGGCAGCCACCACCAACCUAGAAGUAUUAUCAUGGUUUAACAGCAAUCCAAGCAAUGUCUCUGCUCCUGAAAUGGAACCUGGGCCUUGUUGGACGACGUGGGACAAAGGAGAGAGGCAGGUCCACUGUGGGGUCUGUCUGUGUUUAUAUGGUUGGCAGAGCGCGCUUUGAUGUCACCCUGAUGACGUCUGUCAUCUUCCCCACACCUGCUAUGGCAUGGCUGCCUUCAGUCACAAGCCUGAUUCACAGCACACUCUAUGUUUAGCAGCGCUCUGAGAAGGAUUCCAGUCUGCCUUCAGCCCUAAAUAGCUACAAAUAUCAGAGUAGCAGCGGCAGCCCUUCAAAGGCCUUUUUGGGAAGUGUCAUGCCAGAGAUGGGGUGACACAGAGGAGCCCCAGAAAGAAGCAAGAUGUCACCUGGAAACUGGAGGGAAAAAGAAGAAAUGAACCAGCGUCGACUGCUAAGAAGGUGAAGAAAUGAACCAGCGUCGACUGCUAAGAAGGUGAAGAAAUGAACCAGCGUCGACUGCUAAGAAGGUGAUAAAGUUGACCAUCUGUUCCUCAGUUACUUAUAGCACGGUCAUCGUCUGGAAAGUUGGAGACAAUGACUAGAAGACAAUGAAGGGACGAAAUACAAGGUGUCUGGUGCAGACUGAUAUGGCCAGGCACGUAAUUAAUGCCUCUUUAAAAGUGAACAAAAGCAGAGCAAGAAGUAAAAAACAAAGCGAUUACGCAUCAGCUGCUGAAACACUGUGUCCUAGCUUAAACGAGGCUGGAAAAAUGCUUCCACAGAGAACAGGAUGCUUGAGGACUCUAGCCUUUUCCCGGAGGGGCUGUAAUGGCUCCAGCCUCGCAGACGGGCUGCGCAGCGGCGCCAGCGAGCUCUGCUGCCCCCUGCUGGACGGAACGCGGGACUCGCGCCAGCCAGUCUGCGAGGCUCCCGCUGGCUCCCUGGGGACCCAGCACUCCUCCAGCAGGUUAUGCAACACCAGCUCACUUCAGGAAAGGAAACCAUCGACUUCAUGGAGCUUCCAAUGAGCCAGUGUUAAGAGUAAGGCGGAGACUAGAAAAUAGCACGCAUGUGUCCAGCCUUGGAGGCGCGUGUGUAAGGGGAGUGGACUAACUGAAAGGAAGCAGUGUAAAGAUUAGCCGCAGGGUAUGGUCUUCUAGUGACGCCGCACCUCAUGACCAGCUACUGACAUGGUGGGCGGCAGUGCUUCAUUUCCGGAGUGCAGCCCCAUCUUCUAGCUCCUUCAAGGUUAUAGAUCUUCUAGCUGUGUGACCUUCAAGGUUUUAAACUCUGACUGUUGGUGAACCAUAUCCAGUGGGUUGGUCUUUCCUAACAAGACACACAGUGAAGGCUUUAUAGAGAGGCAUAUUAAGGUGGAGCAGGGCUAUUCCCUCCUUUUACUGUUCAGAAAUAAUAAACAUUUUGAUAUUUCCAGUAUUCGUCCGGAUCACCAUAUCUUUAGAGGAAUUUUUCUUCUAUUUGGACCGACCCUUUGGAGUUUUACCUUUUGGGGUUUUACUGAUGUGAAGGAGGGGUCGUGGUGGUGGUGGCCGUUCACUCUUGUCCAAUCUGGAUGUGGAUUAAUGGUGUUUUCCAGCCCAUAAAAUAUUUUAAAAUUUUUAUUUCACACGGGGUUAUGAAGCAUCGCUGCCUUUACGACAGCUCGACUGGAACUUUCAAAAUUAAAAAUGACAGGAACUGAAAGUUGUCAUAGAGAUUCCAAGGCACUACCAUUCUCUUAUUCUGUAGACGAUGUUCUGCGCUUUUCAACCAAGUAAGAAUAGAUCUCUGGAGAUGAGAAGAUGACCACCACGUGUCUUUUCCCAGUCUUUGGAUGGUACCUUUCACAUCCUGGAAGGGAGAAAGCUGAGUCACCACCACAGAGUCUGAACCUGAUUAUCAUAUUCAGUAGCCACUGCCAAGCAUACAUUAGCACCUCUCCCAGAACUACUCUCUGUCUGCACAGGGCACCUGGACACUCUGCUCAUGAGAAUGCAAUACCCAACAUGAGUCAAGAAAGCCCAAAGACGUCCACCCUGAUCUGGUGAUAGAUGACACCUGACCUCCUUAGCCAAUAUGCAGACUGAGACUGUAUCUGGCAGAGUUUCUGGCUGCAGAACCCUUGACCGUCAGAAGUGAAUGAAAGUUUGGUAAGCUGUGCUGGAGCACUGCCAGUGUGCGGUGCUGUGAGCCGCCCUCACAGGAUUUCAGGGAAGAACUGUGGGGAGGAGGCACUGAAUGCCUUAGAUGCAGCGGGGAGAAAACCCUUCCUCCUACACCCUUAAAACAGAGCGAAAGGAAACAAAAUAAUAAAACUAAUAACAAAAUAACAAAAUAAUACCCCCCCACAAGCUACACCCUUACUUUUCUGGUCUCACCUGCUGCUUUCCUUAGGAGAUAGUUUCAAUGGAAAAGAUUCUAAAGUUCAUGUGUUCGAAAGCUUCUUGACCUUGCAGUUGGCGAUGAUCUUUGGGGGGUUAUGGAACUGUGGCUGGGGUCACUGGGAGCCAGGUCUUUGGGGUCACAGCUCUGCCCUAUUUUUGGACCCAGUCUCUCUGUGUGUCAUCUGUCAAGAAGUGAGCAAGCUCUCCUACACUCCUUCUGCUCUGGUUCACCUCCACCAAUACCCGUACUCUCAACCCAGGGGUGAAAAUUCCUUUCUCCUUCAGUGUGCUUCUUCCUGGGCAUUUGGUAGCAGCAAUUUCAAAAGCUAAGCUACCUUACUAGUAUGAGCUUCAGUGGUUUACACCAGGUAGGUCGAGGGAAAGGUAAAACUUGGGAUUUGCUCAAAACAUGGCCACACACACACACACACCUGAUGCUCGACACACACAGCCAGGCACACCUGAUGCCAGAAAGGGUGAGGUGGGGAUGUCAGAAAGUCCUGGGAGGAACCCAGGCUGUGUUCUAGGCACAUAUCUAUAGCUCAUAGUUUGUGUGUUCUUGGAAGACACAGAAGUAUUAUAAACUCGUAAAUAGAAUUGCAUAAGACUGUACUCAUGACAUAAAUGAUUCCUCACACGAGCGAACCAAGAAAGCCCAAAGAUGUCUACCCUGAACUGCAGAUAAAACAUCAUCAGACCUCCUUAGUUAGACGCCGCUGACACACAUUCGGAGAUCUUAUCCGGCAGAGUUUCCAGGCGUACGGAAGGUGGAUUGAGUUCAGGAUGAAUGAACUAUUGAACAGUGGAGCUCAGGGAGUGGGCGAUGGAUUAGUGGACAAAAAUAGCCCUGGACACCUGUGUAAAUCCUUGGUGAUCUGAUCUACGCCAUAAAAACCAGACAGUGGGCAUCUGUAACUCAUAAUAAGUCCUUUCUAACAUCACUGAGGUUAUCUUAAAGAGCCUCUUGGUGCUCCCCUCCCCCAUAGCUUUAGAGUGGGGCCAGGCUGCUAACUGCGCCAACGCUGCAUUUGGAGGGCUGUGACUUGCAGCCUGACCUCCUGGAACUGAGUGGAGCAGCAAUCAACAAUGACUUUGUAAGCUGAUCCCUGCUACAGACCGUACAAAAUCCUCAACGGGGAGAGCUGCUUACCUACAGAGGUCACAGGAGCUCUGUGCUCACCACCCCUAAUGCCCGUGUUCCUUGAAGUUGGCUGUUCCUGAGUUGUAUCUUUUGAAGUGAACUGACAUUGAUUCCUUUGGAAACUUGGAUGGCAUCGUUUAAUCUGUGGAGUGGGAAAAAGGAGACGAAGGAAGGAAGAGGAGAGGAGACCAUAAAGUUGCUAGAAUAGGAGGGCCUCUCCCAGAAUACUCCACACAACAGAUGGUUGAUCUACACCAGGAAACACCCAAAGAAGAAGACCAAGGCCACCACAGGCGGCAACUUGCCUACUCACCAGGGUCCAAGGAAGACCUCCAUCCCAUGGUGGGUAGAGUCCACAUGUGGGUCUCUGGGCUCUCUUCUCUGGUCUUCCUGUCCUCGUUGCUUUACUAAGGGAGACCUGUGAGCAACAGUGUUUUAACGCACGUUAUAGACGACACCGGAGUGUGGCUCUCACCAAAGCGUGUGCCUGACGUGAAGUGUGCCAGACUCCACGAGAAGUGUGUCUGGGCCAACUGACAGCAGUGGCUCUGGCUUUGACACGGCUCUCAGCACUCCCAUUCUGUUCCGAGAGGCCAGGAAGCAGAUGGAGAGAGAAUAAGCAAUGCAGUGGGAUGUCUACAUCUUGGCAGUCAGUUCACGGCGAGCUAUGUUUCUCAAGCUAUUAAGAUACAUGAUGCUACCUGUACAUUUAAUCUCUAAUCAAGUAUGUAAUUUUUUUAUUGCCUAGGGUAUGUCUAUGCAGUUGAAAGCAAAAACCUGUGUUCUAUCUUUAAAGAAAAAAUAAAACAACAACAAUAACAACCACAACACCCCUGUAAAAUCAAGAGAGAGGGAGCAAGAAGUUGGGUGGGUGGUGAGGUGGGGGAGAAUCGGGGAACAAUGGAGGAGGAAAACAAUAUAAUCAAAACAUACUGUAUGGAAAUUAAAUGUCCACCCUGCUCCUUGUGAAGUUUGCUUCCUUCACAGUGAUGUGAAGGGAACAGUGAUAUGCUUCCCCAAGGGGCACGAAGGAGAGGUGCUCUGAGAAAGUGACAUAAACAGGGAAGAUUUUUCUUCUUUGUAGAGAAGGGCGUUAGAGUACAGCAUUGUGAGAUUGCUCAGUGUGUGCACAGAGUACAGCAUUGUGAGGUUACUCAGUGUGUGCACAGAGUACUGCAUCAUCAGAUUACUCAGUGUGUGCACAGAGUACUGCAUUGUGAGAUUACUCAGUGUGUGCACAGAGUACUGCAUUGUGAGAUUACUCAGUGUGUGCACAGAGUACAGCAUUGUGAGAUUACUCAGUGUGUGCACAGAGUACAGCAUUGUGAGAUUACUCAGUGUGAGCACAGAGUACUGCAUUGUGAGAUUACUCAGUGUGAGCACAGAGUACUGCAUCAUCAGAUUACUCAGUGUGAGCACAGAGUACUGCAUCAUCAGAUUACUCAGUGUGUGCACAGAGUACUGCAUUGUGAGAUUACUCAGUGUGUGCACAGAGUACUGCAUUGUGAGAUUACUCAGUGUGUGCACAGAGUACUGCAUCAUCAGAUUACUCAGUGUGUGCACAGAGUACUGCAUCAUCAGAUUACUCAGUGUGAGCACAGAGUACUGCACUGUGAGAUUACUCAGUGUGUGCACAGAGUACUGCAUUGUGAGAUUACUCAGUGUGAGCACAGAGUACUGCAUUGUGAGAUUACUCAGUGUGUGCACAGAGUACAGCAUUGUGAGAUUGCUCAGUGUGUGCACAGAGUACUGCACUGUCAGAUUGUUCAGUGUGUGUCAAACCAGCUUUAGCAGCACUGAGAGAGAACUGACUUCAUUAACACUGGAGAUCUUGGAGACAGAUCAAGUACUCCUAUGCAGGGCAACACAAGGCACUGCAUUGAAGGAAGUCUUCCAAGAGCAGAGAAAUUCUCUCCUGGACACUACUUCCACAGAAUUUUCAGAUAGUUCCAUUUAACUUCCAAGUUCGUUGAUCAACUGUCAUGGGGAGAAGGGAUAGACGUCACGGAGCAUUGUGUCAUUAACAUUCGUUGCUGAAGAAGACUGGGAAGCAAUUCUAAAUUUGCAGCAGCCACGAGGUCCAUGGGCAGAGGUGGACAGAAGUGAGGACUGUCCAAAUGGUGGACUGCUUUGAGCAAGUGAAUGAGUCGUUGCAACUCCACAACUGGGUACGAUAAAAACGCUUCCAUAAACAAUGUAAAAUCAACUGGGUAAGGCGUAAUCCCAUUUAUUUACAGUUCAAAAAUAAACAAAGCGAGUCGCUGACAUCUGAAGUGAGAAGAGAUACCCGCCAUGGGCGAGCUUAGUGAAGAUUCAGCUUCAGGCGUUAGGGAUGGUUUCGUCCCUGAUGGGUUGUUGGUUACGAGCACAUGUUUGUUCUCCACGAGCAUACAUUUUAUUUCUGAGUCGUGUAUAUUUUUUUCUUCAUCCUGAAUCAGCAAAACAGUUACAAGCAAGCAAUGUCAACAUAGUUUCUUUUGCAUGUAUUAAAGUUUGGACCGUUCAGUCAAUCGUUUAAAGGACUAGGUAUGUGGGAGGAAGUGGCCCACAAAGGCUGAAGAGUUAAGUAUUUAAAGACUCAGAAUUACUUGAGAUAGUGAAAAAACGUUAGAGAGAAAAAUUUGAGCUUGGCUUCGUAGUCUAAAUUUCUUUGUCAGUAAAAACCUUCAUUUGUGGUAAAAUUUGGGCAGGGGAGUAAUGGUAUUUGAUAAGGGGUGGGGAAGAAUGUGAACUCAAAAUUAUAACCCAUUUUCUUUCUUUUUAACAUUUUCAGGUCAACACCAAACGUUUAGGUUCUGUGUGAUCAAAAUAGAAGGUCUUCACGUAUAUGGACCUGUCCUCCGCUAAGAUGUAAUUAUCAGUUGAUCAGGUUGAAAGACGGCUGAGUAGAUCCGGCACUAACAACAGAAUCAUCACACCAUGGAGAAACAAAUGUUCUAACAAUGUUCAUAACUCUACACGAUCCUUUCCUUUUUCACCACAAUCUAUGCUUCCCCAUCUGGCAGACAAGUAUGGAUCCCUUUCAACAUGGUAGGUAACAUUCCAGAUUGGAUAAUAAAAGUCUCUGUGGGAGAA